Molecule: non-coding RNA, 77 nt
Organism: Podarcis lilfordi (Lilford's wall lizard)
Lineage: Eukaryota; Metazoa; Chordata; Lepidosauria; Squamata; Lacertidae
Source: the annotation of a GenBank genome assembly
GUAUUAUGUGGUAUAGGGGUGGAUGAAGCACUUGAUUUGCAUGCAAAAGGUCCUGGGUUCAAAUCCCAGCAUCUCCA